This is a non-coding RNA of Cinara cedri, 3420 nucleotides long. NCBI's taxonomy places the organism in Eukaryota, Metazoa, Arthropoda, Insecta, Hemiptera, Aphididae. The record is from the annotation of a GenBank genome assembly.
GUUAUGUGUACGUAUCCAUUAUUCUUCCAUCACGCCGAUUGUUCUGGAAUUUUUUUCAAUCAUAUCAUUACAAUAAUAAUGAAAAUUAAUUUUUAUUGUGCACAUAUCCUGCAAUCAAUACGUUUGUGUCCGCUAUAAUAUUUUCUAUGUUUUGUUUUGUUUUGUUUUUUUUUUGUAUAUAUUUUUAAAAGAGGUUAUACCCGCGUUAUUAUGCUGUCUUGAAGUUGACAACGGGGGCGACAUGGUAAAAUUACUUCCUACAUGAUCGUGGCGUUUAAAUUGAAAUCAUUAGAGUUUAAUCUCGGAUGACAAACAACUUAAAGAGUAGAAUAUCGUACAUAGGCAGCGUUACUCAGCCAUAGGUUCGCGACCCAAAAUUGGGUCGCGAAUAAUUUUGAAUGGGUCGCCGAAUAAUUUAAAUGCUAUUGAAAUAUUUCGAUUUUAAACUAUCCGUAUAAAAAAAAAAAUUUUAAACAUAAUCAAUGAAACAUUUUUCGUAAAUAAUUUUUCUUGACAAAUUAAAAUUCAUAAUGCUGUACUAGAAAACUGCUUUCAAUGCUGCACGCAUUCUCUAUCGGUCGACAUUCACACGGGCGCCGUUAAUGAAUUCGAUAAGUUGUUGAUUCACAUUGAAUCAAUACAUUUCGUUUUGGACUCGAUCGUUUAAUAUCGUGCACUUCAAAAGGUACCCAUUACACGUUGAGCCGUGCGUGUUACUUUAAAGAUAAAUUUGAAAGGUAAUGGUUUCUAUUAUAGCAACGGUAAUCGGACAAUUGACAUACGCCGCUCGAAAAUUCGGUAAAUACCUAGGGGGUCGCCAACACGCGCGGUUAAUAAACAGGCACUGAUAUAUAGGGAAGCGUCGAGGGGUUUUUGCGGUUUGGCGACGACAUCUUAGAGAAAAACCGCAACGCGUACCUAUCGAUUCGGUAAAUAUUCUCCCGGCGGCGAACCGUGUUGGCCGUGUUUGAAAUACGAAAACACAAAUAUACACGCAUAAACUCUUCUAGAUAUCGUAAUAUUUUCCUUAUAUUUGCAUGUAUGUUUAUGUGAUUUACAUUUACUACGUUUAACUCCCCUGGAUCCGCGGCGUACGCCGCUGCGUUCGCCCGGUUAGAGGUUGCCGUCCGAUCUGCGUUCAAACGCUGUAAACUCGACGAAGUCUCGGACUAGACGACACGGUCGGUUUUCUUCUUUACGAGUGAAAUUAUCGUUUUUACCACGUCGCCCCCCCCCCCAUCACCCCCAUAAGAAAAUUAUAGACCGAGACCUCUGUAAAUGCGAGUGUAUUGUCUCGGCCUCCACUGGAUUUUUGUUUUUCCGUUUCAUUUUCAAAAAUAUUUCCCCGUCUGUCCGGCACAGAAUUAGACAUUAAGCUAUUGAUUUACUUAUCGGCGUAUUAUAUAAUAUGUAUUAUUAUUAUUGUAAAUACGUCGGUUUAUUACUAUUUAUAAUAAUAGGUGAUAAUGUUGGUUUUCUUUGUGUUUUUUUGAUUUAGCGAUUUUUUUAUAUAAUGAACACGACAUACGGUGUCGUUCAUACGGUUCGGAGUAUCGGGUAUCAAGUAGAUUUAGACGCGAACAUAUAAUAUAUAAUAUAUAAAAUAUACAUUGUAUAUUAUAUAUUACAUUAUGUAUUGCAAAAAUAUAGUCUUAUAUACAUAUAUAAAUAUAAAUAUAUUUUUUUUCUCGUAUUAUCGAUUUACAGAAAAAAAAAAAAAAUAAAAAAAAAAUAUUAUUAUAAUACAAAAUUAUACGUCAAUAAUUUUAAUUUUAUUAAUAAGAAAUAAUAAUUAACAUAUUAAUAAUUUAAGGUAUACAAUUAUAAUAUCAAAAAAAAAAAAAAAAACAAAAUCACAUUUGUUUUUAUAUAAUAUCGCAUAGGUACUUAACGAUAAUUAAUAUUAAAUAGUUUUAAGUUGUGCGAAAAAAAAACGCAAAAAAAAAAAAUUGAUUUUAGAUUGUGUAGUGAUUUCUUUUCUUUAUUAUAUUAUACUACUGUUAGGUAUUUGAAUUUUUGAUUAUAAGAGUGAAACUAUGUUUUUUUUUUUUUUUUUUUUAUCGUAAGUAGGUACCUACGUUAUUAUAUUGUACGCGUGUAAUUAGCAUAUUUUAUAAAAAGUACUUAGUGUAAACGAAAAAAAAAAACAUUUAUGUCAUAGUUUAUCGUUUAAUAUUAUAUUGUAAGCACAGCCGUAAUGUUAAGAGUAUACAUUAAACAAUUAUCUCUAGGUUUUCGAAUAGAUAUAAUAAUAUUAUCAUUAUAAUUUACUAUAUACGGAAUCGCCGACUGGAGACGAAUCCGAUUCUAUUCGUUUGAAUGUAAUUGUGACAUCACAGACGAAAUGUCCCCUAUAUUAUUGUGUAUUAAUAUAUAUAUAUUAGCCUUUCGAUUGCAAAACCCGGUAGAAAAAAAAAAAUCCGAAAUCGUUAUUCAUCGAGCUAAACUGCAGGUGGAUAGCGAUUCCGUAUAGCAGGGAUAACGAGGAAGGAAAUUAUAAUAAUAUUUUUUAAAAUAAGCGCGACGGGAUGGAUUUAGAGUGAAUCGUUAGACGAUUUGAUUUCACGAUAAUCGUUACAAGACCGAAAGCAACGAAAUGCGCUCAUUCGCAACGAGAAGAUAUACGAAAUCGUAUAAUAAUGUUGUUAUAAUUUCGUGUUAUCGUCGUCAGUACCGUGGGCGGAGAUCCGAUAGGCGCCUAUUCGAGAGGGGAAGGGCUCCAAAACAGUCCUGAUAUUAUAAUAUAAAAUCAACUAUAUUAGAACAUAGCUUUUCACAUAAAAUAGAAAAUUUUAGGAAUAAUUGCUUUCGAUGAUUUUCGGAGGGGCUAAGUAUCCCUAGCCUCAAUCCCCGUCUGUGGUUCAUAUCUACAUGGGUUCGUCGUUAUUUACUUAUAAUAUUAUUAUAUUAACUUAAAUUUCUCGAACAUUUUUUACUUCAUUUUAAUCUAACGUCGUCGAUAAGUAGCGUUUUUAUAACACACAUAAUAUUAUUAUAGUCGCGCAUAUGCCAUACACUCGUUCGUUUUUGCUUCUAGUCGUUUGUUUUGUGUAUUUUUUUUUUUUUUAGCAAUAAGGCGUGUUGAUAAUAUUAAACCAAAUAUAAUAUACUUAAGUCAUAAUUUGCGUUUUACCGAUUUAUGUAUUAACAAUAUAAUUAUUUGUCGUAGAAAAAACCGGAAUAUAAUAUUAUAAUCACGAUCAAUUAUAUAAGUUCCAAAUAUAUAAUUAUAAUUAUACUACCUAUUGUGUUUUAAAUGACAAUUUUCCAAAACAUUGUAUACAAAUGCAAAUUUGGUAAACUAUUUUGUUACACUAGCUAUAUUAUUAUUACAAUAAUAUAGUGUGAUGGCUGACAGUUUUGUAAUUUCUAUUUAAUAUUUAUUUAUGAAAUAAACUGUAUAAUUACUAUACCGAGACG